CCCUUAGACGUUCUGGGCCGCACGCGCGCUACACUGACCAGUGCAACAAGCAUCCGUCCUUGGCCGACAGGCUCGGGCAAUCUUUGAACGCUGGUCGUGAUGGGGAUAGACUUUUGCUAUUUUUGGUCUUCAACGAGGAAUUCCUAGUAAACGCAAGUCAUCAACUUGCAUUGAUUACGUCCCUGCCCUUUGUACACACCGCCCGUCGCACCUACCGAUUGAAUGGUCCGGUGAAGCCUCCGGAUUGGCGCGCACCUCGGUGCCGCCGAGAAGUUGGCUAAACCUUACCAUUUAGAGGAAGGUGAAGUCGUAACA
RNAcentral lists this ribosomal RNA (315 nucleotides) under uncultured eukaryote. RNAcentral's name for it is "partial 18S ribosomal RNA". It matches the Rfam family "Eukaryotic small subunit ribosomal RNA", at positions 1470 to 1796 of the family's 1831-position model. The record is from RNAcentral.